GAUGAACGCUGGCGGCGUGCCUAAUACAUGCAAGUCAAGCGAACAGACGAGGAGCUUGCUCCUCUGACGUUAGCGGCGGACGGGUGAGUAACACGUGGAUAACCUACCUAUAAGACUGGGAUAACUUCGGGAAACCGGAGCUAAUACCGGAUAAUAUAUUGAACCGCAUGGUUCAAUAGCGAAAGACGGUUUUGCUGUCACUUAUAGAUGGAUCCGCGCCGCAUUAGCUAGUUGGUAAGGUAACGGCUUACCAAGGCAACGAUGCGUAGCCGACCUGAGAGGGUGAUCGGCCACACUGGAACUGAGACACGGUCCAGACUCCUACGGGAGGCAGCAGUAGGGAAUCUUCCGCAAUGGGCGAAAGCCUGACGGAGCAACGCCGCGUGAGUGAUGAAGGUCUUCGGAUCGUUAAACUCUGUUAUUAGGGAAGAACAAAUGUGUAAGUAACUAUGCACGUCUUGACGGUACCUAAUCAGAAAGCCACGGCUAGCUACGUG
Molecule: ribosomal RNA, 497 nt
Filed under: uncultured bacterium
Lineage: Bacteria
Description: partial 16S ribosomal RNA
Rfam family: Bacterial small subunit ribosomal RNA
Source: RNAcentral